CAAAGCCCAGGUCUUGACAUAGAUACAGAUAACAUACACGCCCAGAUGAUGUCACAAUCAGCUGUAUCUAAACAGAGCAGAGCUCAGGUGACAUCACAGAACAGGCAGAGGCAGUUCAGGGGUAUUCUGGUUGCCUUACCCAGCUCUGAAGUCUGUCAGCCUCUUCAGAUGUCACUUGCCAUGUGGUAAGGAAGUGUAGUCAGCAGCUGGUGCAGUGGGAAGAAGAGAAAGGAAGUUCCCCAAGACAAAAACAUCUCGGCAGACCGUGAUCAUGGGCUACAUUCUCCGUACCAGCUUCAUAGCUCCAGUGAGAAAAUAAAUUCCUGCAUCCAGGAGAUGUGGAGUAAGAGAUACAGCUGCCCUUGACCAUAUUUCUUACUUCCGAGAAGAUCGUAGCAGUAAUUCAGAAUCUCAUCCAGGAUACCUCAUCACAGGCUGGAGUGCAGUGUCAUGAGCUUGGCUCACUACAGCCUCCAUCUUCUGUGCUUAAGGAUCCUUCCCUCUCAACCUCCAAGGUAGCUGAGACUACAGGCAACAUUCGAAACCCAGGUGCCACUCCUUCAGGAAGGUACCAUCAAGCUCCAAGGACUCAUCCUCUUUCUCCUUCCCCACUACCUAGUCAUUAGAGCGUCAGCAUCCACUUCCUGAAAGGAAGAUGCCUGUUUUUCACAUAUCCCAGAAAGCCUCAUUUUAGGACAGCAUUUAGCAGAGUGUAUUCAGGAUCCCACUAACCUUUUCGGAAGACAUGACUUCCAGAUGAUAUAAGGCAAGAAUAAGAAAUUUCAGUGACAGGGAACAGAAAUCAUAUUUCUGCAUUCAGGAUCAUGUUUUCUUGGCUCCAUCAGGAACUGUGCAGGACUGUGCACUCUGUUGAUACUCACAUGGUGGAAUUAUAUUGCCCUUGGCCAACCCUAAAGCCAUCAAGAUAGCAGCAACUACUCUAUCAUUACUGUACCACCACCUGUAUGGAUCUCGUUGCCCAUAUGAAACUGAGUAAGGAACAAUGUGCAUCACACUCACAGAGAAAGAUGGACAAGUUUGGAAUAAUUCACUGUCGAAGUCUUCUUGAGCUGAGCAGUCAUGUGAGCUUGGAAGAUGAUCCCUCUCCAGCUGAUCCUUCAGCUCAGGCCAUCAUCUACAUCUGGAUUCCUGACCCGGAGAAACUAUGAGUAAUGUGUGCUGCUUUUGAGCCACUAAGCUACAUGAAUUAAUGAAGGAUCAUUAUUAAGUUUUUAAUGGGUCAAGAGAAAGUUACCACUGAGGUCUUCUCUACCUGGGCAACAAUUGACUCCUAACAACCACUAUAAGCUUGGAAGAUGAUCCCUCCCCAGCUGAUCCUUCAGUUCACAUGAAGCAUUUGGAAGUAAACACACGAUGGACUGAACACUUUGCUGCUUAGAAACUUCUUCUUCCAGAUUCCCUAGUUCAUCAUUAAGUAGUUAGGCCUCUCACAAAGCCCUUGGUCACGGAUACAGGUCCUUGGAAAAAACUCAACCAAUUGUCAACCAGAAAAUGCUUAAAUUUAUCUAUAGCCUGUAACCCCACCCCCCACUCCCUACCCUGCUUCAAGCUGUCCUGCCUUUCUGGAACAAACCAAUGUAUUCCUUAAACAUAUUUGAUUGCUGUCUCAUGCUUCCCUAAAAUGUAUAAAACCAAGCUGUACCCCAACCACCUUGGGCACAUGUUCUCAGGACUUCCUGAGGGCUGUGUCAUGGGCCAUGGUCACUCAUAUUUUGCUCAGAAUAAAUCUCUCUAAAUAUUUUA
Molecule: long non-coding RNA, 1764 nt
Filed under: Homo sapiens (human)
Lineage: Eukaryota; Metazoa; Chordata; Mammalia; Primates; Hominidae
Description: HSALNT0379992
Source: RNAcentral